RNAcentral lists this long non-coding RNA (4601 nucleotides) under Zostera marina. Its description in RNAcentral is "long non-coding RNA (ZMAR_LNC000012)". The record is from RNAcentral. Lineage: Eukaryota; Viridiplantae; Streptophyta; Magnoliopsida; Alismatales; Zosteraceae.
UAUUUCCAAAAUGAUUUUUUGUUAUUCUACCCUUUUUUCAAGUAAUAUAUUAUGAGUAAAUUUCAAUAUUUUUCUUUUUGUGACUUUAAAAUAGUAAUAUGUUAUUUAACACCUUUUUAUUUCAUUUUAAAAAAUGCUUCCAAAAUGAUAGUUCAAAAUAAUAGUUGAAAAUAUAUAGUAAAAUACUAUUAGAUCUUUUUAUUUCGUCUUUGAAUUUCAUAAUAUAUAGUUAAAAAUAAUAAAUUUUUAUUUCCAAAUGAUUUUUGUUAUUCUACACUUUUUUCAAGUAAUAUAUUAUGAGUAAAUUUCAAUAUUUUCUUUUUGUGACUUUAAAAUAGUAAUAUGUUAAUUAACACCUUUUUAUUUCAUUUUAAAAUAAUUCUUCCAAAAUGAUAGUUCAAAAUAAUAGUUGAAAAUAUAUAGUUGAAAACUAUUAGAUCUUUUUCUUUAGUCUUUGGAUUUCAUAAUAUAUAGUUUAAAAUAAUAAAAUUUUAUUUUCAAAAUGAUUUUUUUUAUUCUACCAUUUUUUCAAAUAAUUUAUUAUGAGGGAAUUUCAAUAUUUUUCUUUUCGUGACUUUAAAAUAGUAUUAUGUUAAUUAACACCUUUUUAUUUCAUUUUAAAAUAAUGCUUCCAAAAUGAUAGUUUAAAAUAAUAGUUGAAAAUUUAUAGUUGAAAACUAUUAGAUCUUUUUAUUUCGUCCAUGGAUAUAAAAAUAAAUUUUUAUUUCCAAAAUGAUUUUUUGUUAUUCUAUAUUCCCUUUUUUCAAAUAAUUUAUUAUGAGGGAAUUUCAAUAUUUUUCUUUUCGUGACUUUAAAAUAGUAUUAUGUUAAUUAACACCUUUUUAUUUCAUUUUAAAAUAAUGCUUCGAAAAUGAUAGUUCAAAAUAAUAAUUGAAAAUAUAUAUUAGAAAACUAUUAGAUCUUUUUUUUCGUCUUUGGAUUUCUUAAUAUAUAGUUUAAAAUAAUAAAUUUUUAUUUCCAAAAUGAUUUUUUGUUAUUCUACACUUUUUUCAAGUAAUAUAUUAUGAAUAAAUUUCAAUAUUUUUCUUUUUGUGACUUUAAAAUAGUAAUAAGUUAAUUAACACCUUUUUAUUUCAUUUUAAAAUAAUUCUUCCAAAAUGAUAGUUCAAAAUAAUAGAUGAAAAUAUAUAGUGAAAACUAUUAGAUCUUUUUGUUUCGUCUUUGGAUUUCAUAAUAUAUAGUUAAAAAUAAUAAAUUUUUAUUUCAAAACUGAUUUUUGGUUAUUCUAUCCUUUUAUGAAAUAAUAUAUUAUGAGUAAAUUUCAAUAUUUUUCUUUCUUGACUUUAAAAUAGUAUUAUGUUAAAUAACACCUUUUUAUCUCAUUUUAAAAUAAUGCUUCCAAAAUGAUAGUUCAAAAUAAUUGUUGAAAAUAUAUAGUUGAAAACUAUUAGAUCUUUUUAUUUCAUCUUUGGAGUUCAUAAUAUAUUGUUGAAAAUAAUAAAUUUUUAUUUACAAAAUGAUUUUUUGUUAUUCUCCCCUUUCUUUCAAAUAAUAUAUUAUGAGAUUUUUUUCAAUUUUUUUUUCUUUUUGUGUCUUUAAAAUAGUAUUAUGUUAAUUAACACCUUUUUAUGUCAUUUUAAAAUAAUGCUUCCAAAAUGAUAGUUGAAAAUAAUAGUUGAAAAAAUAGAGUUGAAAACUAUUACAUCUUUUUAUUACAUCUUUUUAUUUCAUCUUUGGAUUUCGUAAUAUAUAGUUAAAAAUAAUAAAUUUUUAUUACCAAAAUGAUUUUUUAUUAUUCUACCCUUUCUUCAAAUAAUAUAUUAUGAGUAAAUUUCAAUAUUUUUCUUUUUUGACUUUAAAAUAAUAUAUUAUGUCAAUUAACACCUUUUUAUUUCAUUUUAAAAUAAUGCUUCCAAUAUGAUAGUUCAAAAUAAUAGUCGAAAAUAUAUAGUUGAAUUCUAUUAGAUCUUUUUAUUUCGUCUUUGGAUUUCAUAAUAUAUAGUUAAAAAUAAUAAAUUUUUAUUUCCAAAAUGAUUUUUUGUAAUUCUACCCUUUCUUCAAAUAAUAUAUUAUGAGUAAAUUUCAAUAUUUUUCUUUUUUGACUUUAAAAUAAUAUAUUAUGUCAAUUAACACCUUUUUAUUUCAUUUUAAAAUAAUGCUUCCAAAACGAUAUUUCAAAAUAAUAGUUGAAAAUAUAUAGUUGAAAACUAUUAGAUCUUUCUAUUUCGUCUUUGGAUUUCAUAAUAUAUAGUAAAAAUAAUAAAUUUUUAUUUCAAAAAAUAUUUUUUUUAUUCUACCCUUUUUUCAAAUAAUAUAUUAUGAGUAAAUUUCAAUAUUUUUCUUUUUUUGAAUUUAAAAGAGUAUUAUGUUAAUUAACACCUUUUUAUUUCAUUUUAAAAUAAUGCUUCCAAAAUUAUAGUUCAAAAUAAUAGUUGAAAACUAUUAGAUCUUUUUAUUUCGUCUUUGGAUUUCAUAAUAAAUUUUUAUUUCCAAAAUGAUUUUUUGUUAUUCUAUAUACUAUUUAUUAAAUAAUAUAUUAUGAUUAGAUUUCGAUAUUUUUCUUUUUUGACUUUAAAAUAAUAUUAUGUUAAAUAACACCUUUUUAUCUCAUUUUAAAAUAAUGCUUCCAAAAUGAUAGUUUAAAAUAAUAAUUGAAAAUAUGUAGUUAAAAACUAUUAUAUCUCUUUUUAUCGUCUUUGGAUUUCAUAAUAUAUAGUUAAAAAUAAUAAAUUUUUAUUUCCAAAAUGAUUUUUUGUUAUUCUUCCCUUUUUUGAAAUAAUAUAUUAUGAGUAAUUAAUUUCAAUAUUUUUCUUUUUUGACUUUAAAAUAGUAUUAUGUUAAUUAAACCUUUUAUUUAAUUUAAAAUAAUGCUUCCAAAAUGAUAGUUCAAAAUAAUAGUUGGAAAUAUAUAUAGUUGAAUAUUAUUAGAUCUUUUUAUUUCGUCUUUGGAUUUCAUAAUAUAUAGUAAAAAUAAUAAAUUUUUAUUUCCAUAAUGAUUUUUUGUUAUUCUACCCUUUUUUCAAAUAAUAUAUUAUGAGUAAAUUUCAAUAUUUUUCUUUCUUGACUUUAAAAUAGUAUUAAGUUAAAUAACACCUUUUUAUCUCAUUUUAAAAUAAUGCUUCCUAAUUGAUAGUUCAAAAUAAUAGUUGAAAAUAUAUGGUUGAAAACUAUUAGAUCUUUCUAUUUCGUCUUUGGAUUUCAUAAUAUAUAGUAAAAAUAAUAAUAAAAAAUUUCCAAAUUUUUUUUUUCUACCCUUUUUUCAAAUAAUAUAUUAUGAGUAAAUUUCAAUAUUUUUCUUUUUGUGAAUUUCAUAGAGUAUUAUGUUAAUUAACACCAUUUUAUUUCAUUUUAAAAUAAUGGUUAGAAAAUUAUAGUUCAAAAUAAUAGUUGAAAACUAUUAGAUCUUUUUAUUUCGUCUUUGGAUUUCAUAAUAAAUUUUUAUUUCGAAAAUGAUUUAAUAUUGUUAUUCUAUAUACUAUUUUUUAAAUAAUAUAUUAUGAGUAAAUUUCGAUAUUUUUCUUUUUUGACUUUAAAAUAGUAUUAUGUUAAACAACACCUUUUUAUCUCAUUUUAAAAUAAUGCUUCUAAAAUGAUAGUUCAAAAUAAUUGUUGAAAAUAUAUAGUUGAAAACUAUUAGAUCUUUUUAUUUCAUCUUUGGAGUUCAUAAUAUAUUGUUGAAAAUAAUAAAUUUUUAUUUACAAAAUGAUUUUUUGUUAUUCUCCCCUUUCUUUCAAAUAAUAUAUUAUGAGAUUUUUUUCAAUUUUUUUUUCUUUUUGUGUCUUUAAAAUAGUAUUAUGUUAAUUAACACCUUUUUAUUUCAUUUUAAAAUAAUGCUUCCAAAAUGAUAGUUGAAAAUAAUAGUUGAAAAAAUAGAGUUGAAAACUAUUACAUCUUUUUAUUUCAUCUUUGGAGUUCGUAAUAUAUAUAUAUAGUUGAAAAUAAAUAAAAAUUAUUUCCAAAAUGAUUUUUUGUUAUUCUACCCUUUUUUCAAAUAAUAUAUUAUGAGUAAAUCUCAAUAUUUUUCUUUUUGUUACUUUAAAAUUGUGUUAUGUGACUUAACACCUUUUUAUUUCAUUUUAAAAUAAUACAUGCUUCCAAAAUGAUAGUUGAAAAUAAUAGUUGAAUAUAUUGAGUUGAAAACUAUUAGAUCUUUUUAUUUUAUCUUAAUUUGAAGUUCAUAAUAGUUGAAAAUUAUAAUAAUAAAAAAUCCAAAAUGAUUUUUUGUUAUUUUACCCUUUUUUCAAAUAAUAUAUUAUGAGAUUUAUUUCAAUAUUUUCCUUUCUGUGACUUUAAAAUAGUAUCACGUUAAUUAACACCUUUUUAUUUCAUUUUAAAAUAAUGCUUCUAAAAUGAUAGUUCAAAAUAAUAGUUGAAAAUAUGGAGUUCAAAACUAUUAGAUCAUCUCCUAGAUAGUGACAAUAUUGAUUCUAUAUGUGAUGGUUUGGCGGUCUGAUUAUCGUCUUUUCAUGUCUUUUAUCCACUCACAACUGAAUCUUAUGUUUGAGCAGUUUAUUCAUCUUAUUAUUAGAGAAAAUUCCUUUCUCAAGCAUCAUCUUCAAAUUAAAAAUCUGAUGAUCCUUCGGGUGACGCUUUUGCUGCAAAAUUCCGUUCAGGACGUGAUUCUAGGAAUGAUUACAGAG